RNAcentral lists this ribosomal RNA (484 nucleotides) under uncultured bacterium. RNAcentral describes it as "partial 16S ribosomal RNA". It matches the Rfam family "Bacterial small subunit ribosomal RNA", at positions 29 to 507 of the family's 1533-position model. The record is from RNAcentral.
AUUGAACGCUGGCGGCAUGCUUUACACAUGCAAGUCGAACGGCAGCGCGGGCUUCGGCCUGGCGGCGAGUGGCGAACGGGUGAGUAAUACAUCGGAACGUGCCCAGUAGUGGGGGAUAGCUCGGCGAAAGCCGGAUUAAUACCGCAUACGACCUGAGGGUGAAAGCGGGGGAUCUUCGGACCUCGCGCUAUUGGAGCGGCCGAUGGCAGAUUAGCUAGUUGGUGAGGUAAAGGCCUACCAAGGCGACGAUCUGUAGCUGGUCUGAGAGGACGACCAGCCACACUGGGACUGAGACACGGCCCAGACUCCUACGGGAGGCAGCAGUGGGGAAUUUUGAACAAUGGGCGAAAGCCUGAUCCAGCAAUGCCGCGUGUGUGAUGAAGGCCUUCGGGUUGUAAAGCACUUUUGGCGGGAACGAAAAGGACUGUGCCAAUACCACGGUUCGAUGACGGUACCCGCAGAAUAAGCACCGGCUAACUACGUG